ACGAACGCUGGCGGCGUGCCUAAUACAUGCAAGUCGAACGCUUCUUUCCUCCCGAGUGCUUGCACUCAAUUGGAAAGAGGAGUGGCGGACGGGUGAGUAACACGUGGGUAACCUACCCAUCAGAGGGGGAUAACACUUGGAAACAGGUGCUAAUACCGCAUAACAGUUUAUGCCGCAUGGCAUAAGAGUGAAAGGCGCUUUCGGGUGUCGCUGAUGGAUGGACCCGCGGUGCAUUAGCUAGUUGGUGAGGUAACGGCUCACCAAGGCCACGAUGCAUAGCCGACCUGAGAGGGUGAUCGGCCACACUGGGACUGAGACACGGCCCAGACUCCUACGGGAGGCAGCAGUAGGGAAUCUUCGGCAAAGGACGAAAGUCUGACCGAGCAACGCCGCGUGAGUGAAGAAGGUGUUCGGAUCGUAAAACUCUGUUGUUAGAGAAGAACAAGGACGUUAGUAACUGAACGUCCCCUGACGGUAUCUAACCAGAAAGCCACGGCUAACUACGUG
Molecule: ribosomal RNA, 507 nt
Filed under: uncultured bacterium
Lineage: Bacteria
Description: partial 16S ribosomal RNA
Rfam family: Bacterial small subunit ribosomal RNA
Source: RNAcentral